GCUUUAGUGAAGAAUUCUUAUUCGCGGUUUGUGGUUUGUCACGUUUAAAGAAAAUUUCGUUUUCGUCUUGUUGUCGUGUCAUAAAUCAUAAUUCAGUUUUUACUAUACAACGAGCACAGUAAACAAUCUAGUUAAUCACUUUUCUGUUAUCAUUUUUUGCAAUACAAUUCCUUAUUACGAUGUACUUAUUUCUAUUUUCAGAUCAGCGCUAGAAUCAAUUGGGAAGUACUUCUAACCGUCAUACUUCAAAUUCAAUCAAUUUCUGAGGAGAUAGGGGAACCGUGCAGUAGACGAUUUAAGAAUAUAGUAUGCAUAACCAUAUAGAUACCUAUAACCUAUGCAUAUGUAUAUAUACCUAUCUGUAAAAAAUAAUGUAUAUAUGUACCUAUUUGUAAAAUACCACGUUUGUGGAAAUAAUUCAAAUGUAAUAUUAUCAUAUUAUCGCAGGAGUUUGACUUUUACAUAAUAUUUCAAGUAAUCGAUCAUAUUCGCGCGAUUUCGAAACAAUGUAACAAUGCAUACAAAUAGACUUCUCCGAUAAUCUUUGCAUUACCAUGCAAGAGUAGAUAUGCAUCGGUUAUGCAUGUUGCUUCGUUAAAGCCAGUGUGGCGUGUAGCGAACGUGACAUUGUGGAAUAAAUAAAGUUAUAUAAUAUGGUAGAAUAAAUGUGCAUAUCGAUAUCGUGUCCGGCGAAUUUGCAUCCGCGCACGUGGUACUAUAUUUCGACCUUUCGCCGUAGCGCGGCGCUAUUAAAAACGAAUGGCAACCAAUUACGCGGGAAUGCAAUUGCGACCAUCUCCGUACGAAAAUGAUCGUUCUCUGCGAUAUUUCCCAGAUCCGUUCUCCGACUUUGAUAAUUGCCAGUUGGCCAAUUAUCAUUUGUAAUUCCGUCAGAGGUCGAAGCAAACCUGCUCGAAAGUAACUAUGUUACCAUGAGUGAAAUUCAGCCGUGCUUGUACGUUCGUUCUCCGUUUCUAAACUGGCAACAAACGGUUCCCUUAACGUACAGGAUAAUGAGGUCUAUCCGCGAUUCUGGUUAUCGUUGCCGAGUAUCUUAGACCUUUUCCCGAGAGGCAAAGAGCAACUAACUGACACGUAAAAAAUCCUUACCAACGUCCUUGCUUGACGGUUUUCAACCUUGUCGGGAGUAUUCCUACGCGAUUAUCCGUGUCAUCGACGAGCGAUUGACUGUGCAUGCUAGUCGCGUAUGAGUGUAUCGUAUGUGUACUAUGUAGCGUAUCGUGCAACGUGGGUGACAGUGGAGAGAGUAAUGCCUACGAAGGAGAUCUCGAAGAGGAAAGAGACAGCUAGCCUCGACGAAACGAGUAGAGUGAGAGGGGUAACGAUGUGAAAGACGAAAGGAGAGGAAUAAGGGGAGGAAAAGGGAGAGGAAGGGGGACGGAGAAACGCGUAGCAUGAAAUAAAAGGGGAGGGAGUGAACAGCUAAGGGGGGAGAGCAAAGUAGGGUGGGCGGCGACCGUUUCAAGCGGAGGAGUGCCGUAGGGGCCGAUAGGAACGAAGACCGUUGAGUUUGAGGCGAGGUGAGUGAAGCGCGGGCGUCACGACGACGUCGGUAUCGUGGCUGGCCUCCGCCAAUCCGUCCCUCAGCGGCCAUGUUGCUCGUAUACCUGGGGCGGAGCGCCAUGGUCUCUGUCUUUUUACGUUCUCCAAGCUUCUCUUCCGCUCUCUCGCUUGCUCUCCUCCUUCUUCGCAACCAACGUCGCGUCCUCGUCUUCUUGUCGUUUCUAUUCUUCUCCUUCUUUCUUUCGUUCUUUCUUCAUUCGUUUUGUUUCAUUUUUCUUCCUUCGCCUCGCUCCCUCUAUCUGGUACGCGUACCUUGUUCUUCUCGUUUGCGCUCGCGUUACACUUCUCGCAGUCGCGCUUCUUUGUAGCUCCUCUUUCUGCUCGGCCACCUUCUUCUUCUUCAGGGGUAGCCGAUCGCGCACCUGUGUGACCGGUGACGUAAUACAGCUGGUAUCUUGACCGCCAGCCGACCCUUUUCGCUUCGGUACAAGAACCGAUCGUGUCACGGUAGCGUUGAUCUUCGUGGUUUAUGAACACUCCUUAGUUCAUCAAGUCUUGGCGUUCUUUGGUUCAUUUAGUUAGAUAUUCUAUACAAACCGUUUAAAAAUUGUACGUAGAAUUAUUAUAUACAGAAUAUUCUUAAUCCUACGGAAAUCUGAUGCAAUAUUGCGGUAUGAUAGGUUAUAUAGUAUUUCCGGGACAAUUAUUUAUCUCAUAUUCUUGGCAGAAUCGUUCAUUUUCUAUCAUCAUUUUUAAAUGCUUCUCCUGCGUUCAUUUUGUAACAGAAUGAUUUGGGACGUAAUUGGGACGUAACAGGAUCAUAGAAAAGAUCUUAUAGGAGAAGAUACAAAAUGGAGAUAUAUGUAUAAACUUAAGAUUGUUUCAAUUAUUUCUGAAUACGAAACGAAUAAUAAUUGCUAUUGUGCUAUUAGUGUCAUUUUCAUGUAGAUAUCAUCCCUUUUAAUGCGAUUUUAGGUAUCCAUCUUCUAGUACAUAAGUAUGUCCUACUUAAAGUGGGAUGACUUGAAUUCAGACAAAUUUUAAAUCAAUUAACGUGUAUAAACACAAGCUGGAUAUCAAGUUGUAAGAAUUCAUCUAACUCGACUAAUCGAAACGAGGCUUAAUUGAAGAACUGUAUCCCUGAACAAGUGAUCGGUUCGCGUGGAAUCUUCCACGCGGUGGUUACUUAAACGCAUCGACUCAAUAGAAUCUGUAAGAUAUACGAGACGGAGAAACGGGAUCUGUGAAGUCGAAGUGAAUUAUUUCCAGCGUGGACACGAGCAAUUAUUAGGAUGCACACGGCCACUCGAGUUUCCCUCCGCGUCGUUCCGUCUAGGCGGCGGCGUAGCGGUUGAUUUACGCCGCGUUACUCGGCAACGUUUUCGCCUCGCAACUGGGAAAUAACAGUUCCGUACUUAACAUUUCGUUUUACGAUUACGCGAAUCGUAUGUAAUUGCUGGCUGCGAGCUCUGGCCGCCAGCGCGAUUGUAUUUCGCCUUCGAGACCGCGUCAACUGUCCUAUAGAUCUUCGCGCGGCGAAAGAGAGCCGGGAUAAUUGUACGAACGCGGGUCCCGCCGGGAAACUCUGCAAUUAUUGGUAUAGUAUAGCGUUGCUCUCGCGCGGAUGGAAUUCCUUGGCUCGUUACGAUCUUUCUUACAAAUCAAUUAGCCGAACAUGAAGAUAUCACCGAGGAAAUCGAGAACGAUCACGUUUCGUUGCACGCUUUUCUUUGAGAAUUCAUCUUUUUAAGUUGUUUGCUCUGCCGGAUAUGUGUAGGACAGAAGGUAGCAUACCAAUUUCUAAAUACUUUAUAUAUGUAAUACGUAGAUAUAUUAAAUGGUUUAUUUAUUGUUAGUAUAUUAAUUUAGACAGAUUACUAAAAUGGUUUUAUUUCUUUAUAGUAAUAGAUUAUAAGUAAAUAAUAUAAUUGUUCAAGGUGUAUAAACAUCAUUAAAUUUGUGA
Long non-coding RNA from Bombus huntii, 3487 nucleotides. RefSeq lists it as uncharacterized. The transcript is spliced from 2 exons. NCBI's taxonomy places the organism in Eukaryota, Metazoa, Arthropoda, Insecta, Hymenoptera, Apidae. The record is from RefSeq and is a predicted model, not a curated record.